This 451-nucleotide ribosomal RNA is filed under the name uncultured bacterium. Its description in RNAcentral is "partial 16S ribosomal RNA". It matches the Rfam family "Bacterial small subunit ribosomal RNA", at positions 28 to 507 of the family's 1533-position model. The record is from RNAcentral.
GAUGAACGCUGGCGGCGUGCCUAACACAUGCAAGUCGAGCGGCAGCGAGGGGUGCUUGCACCCUGUCGGCGAGCGGCGGACGGCUGAGUAACGCGUGGGAACGUGCCCCAAAGUGAGGAAUAACUGCCCGAAAGGGUAGCUAAUACCGCAUAUUAUCUUCGGAUCAAAGGAUUUAUCCGCUUUGGGAGCGGCUCGCGUCGGAUUAGGUAGUUGGUGAGGUAAUGGCUCACCAAGCCGACGAUCCGUAGCUGGUCUGAGAGGAUGACCAGCCAGACUGGAACUGAGACACGGUCCAGACUCCUACGGGAGGAAGCAGUGAGGAAUCUUCCACAAUGGGCGAAAGCCUGAUGGAGCAACGCCGCGUGCAGGACGAAGGCCUUCGGGUUGUAAACUGCUUUUAUAAGUGAGGAAUAUGACGGUAACUUAUGAAUAAGGAUCGGCUAACUACGUG